CCUACGGGUGGCUGCAGUGAGGAAUAUUGGUCAAUGGGCGCGAGCCUGAACCAGCCAAGUCGCGUGAGGGAGGACGGCCCUACGGGUUGUAAACCUCUUUUGCCGGGGAGCAACGGGCGUCACGUGUGGCGCCACUUAGAGUACCCGGAGAAAAAGCAUCGGCUAACUCCGUGCCAGCAGCCGCGGUAAUACGGAGGAUGCGAGCGUUAUCCGGAUUUAUUGGGUUUAAGGGGUGCGUAGGCGGAUCUUUAAGUCAGUGGUAAAAUUGAGGGGCUCAACCCCUUCCCGCCAUUGAAACUGGCGCUCUUGAGUGGAAGAGAAGUAUGCGGAAUGCGUGGUGUAGCGGUGAAAUACAUAGAUAUCACGCAGAACCCCGAUUGCGAAGGCAGCAUGCCGGCUUCCGACUGACGCUGAAGCACGAAAGCGUGGGGAUCGAACAGGAUUAGAUACCCCGGUAGUC
RNAcentral lists this ribosomal RNA (460 nucleotides) under uncultured bacterium. RNAcentral describes it as "partial 16S ribosomal RNA". It matches the Rfam family "Bacterial small subunit ribosomal RNA", at positions 338 to 795 of the family's 1533-position model. The record is from RNAcentral.